AGGUUCAGGCUCAGGAAGUUGGGAGAAUUUAAUGUUCCUGCUCUGCUGUUUAUCAUUCGUUAGGUUUUUCUACAGAGGCAUGAUGGGAAACAGUCUCAAGUAUGUGGCUGUAGUCUCCAUGAUGGGAACCUGAAAACCUCUACAUGAUUUAGACAAAACAGACAUCUGCUGGACAUACAAAGAAAGUUGGAGUCAAAUAAAUAAAAAAAACAAGACUGAGAUCUGAGAACAAUGUUUAAUUUUACCAGAUACUUCAAACAUCAUCCUGUGGGACAGGACAAAAAGAGGACAGAAAGGGCUGAGAGAGGAGAAAGAGGGCAGAGAGAGGACAAAUGAUAUAAGAGAGAGGGCAGAGGAUGGAAAGAAUAGAGGGGAAAGUGACAGGAAAGGGAGUCGAAGAGGGUCCUGAUUUGGUGAGGGUCAGACCAGCUGUAGUGUGGGACAGCUGUGACUCUUUGGAGAUCUAGAAAGUUGCGGUAUGGCGCUCAGCAUCUUCCCAGAGAGAGGGGGUGGGACCUCAGGACACCUGGACACAGACAAAGUGUGUAAGGAAAAGGAGAAGAAGAUGAGAGGAGGAGGAAGGAGACAGGUGUGAAAGUCUGGCUUCAAGUUUGUGUUAUGUCCUUAUGUUCUGACUUUUUGUCUGGCUGUAGACUAUAGUGUCCUCAGAUCACUCUGAGAGUUUGACCUCUGAGACACCCUCCUCUGACCAACUACAGGGCUUUAAUCAGGAGAAAUCAGCGAUGCCUAUUAGAGGAGGAAGAUGGACCUCUGCCUCACCUUCAAGUUUCCAACUAUUUUGCCGUUUCUAUUUGACAAACUGAAGACUACAGACCGUCCUCUAAGUCUGUCUCUGUCCUCUGAGUCUGUCCUGUGAGUUACAGCGAUAUCUUCAGUCAGUAGGGUGUCAGUUACUGUUCCUCCUCUUGUAAACAGAACCUUAAUCAGUCUCUCCGGCUCCAUCCUUCCUUUCUCCUCUUCUUCAGUAAUAACUUCAGUCGGUUCUCAAAGUUAGUUGUAGUUUCUCAUCAUAUUAAAGCAGCUCUGUCCUCCUUUCACAAACACCACAGGGGACUGCUGUCUCCACCUUUGGAACGGGCACUAACACAGACCGAUAUGAAGACUGUGUGUGUGUGUGUGUGUAUGUGUGGUACCUGUCGUCUCCAGCUGUACACAACCCGUCCUUCAGACUGUCCUCCUCAGUCUCAGGAGCCAAAACGACCUACAAAUAAACUGACUCCAUUACACCUCUGAUACCUUUCUGUCUCUAUCACCAACACACUUUCUCACACACACAUACACACUUUACCUUUGGGUAACACUGGCAGAUGCUCCACACACUCCCCACACACACCAUGAAGACUCCGAGGACACAAACAGUGAUGAAGAUGUGUGGUCGCUCCCUCACCAUGAUGAAGAGGCCGAGAGCAAUCGCACACACGCCAGCAGAGAUCAGUCCGUAUCGAUACGGUUUCCCUUCCACCAUCGCAAAGCUGCAGGUGUGUGUGUGUGUGUGUGUAUUUGAGCGAGUGAGUGCCAGCUGACACUGAGGCAAACAACACAAACUCACGGAAACACACACUCUGAUAGUGUUUGGUGUUUUCUGAUCUGAAGCUGAGGGAGGGGUCAGUUAGUGUUUCACUGCUGCUUAUUACAGCCUGAGGCCUCACUACAGGUGUGUGUGUGUGUGUGUGUGUGUGUGUGUGUGUGUGUGUGUGUGUGUGUGUGUGUGUGUGUGUGUGUGUGUGUGUGUGUGUGUGUGUGUAGGUCACCUUGUCUGCAGUUGUGUUAGCUCGAGUACUUUUAGUUUUCCUUUCUUCCGCUGUGAUUUACUCUGAGCCUGUGCUGGGUUCAUUCUGUUGGUAGUUUCAUUUAAAAUGAUAACUUGAAAACUCAUUUAUGUCUUUGACCUCAGAUUAAAGCUACCAUGUGUUGAUUUUAGCUUUAUUCAUCAGAGCACAUUUGGUAUAAAGUGAAUCUAACACUUAUCUUCAAAAAGUUGAAGCAGAGUGGUUUAUGUGCCUGACUGUCAGUCCUCUCAGUGUAAACAUUUACCUGUUUUUACCUGUUAAGUCAUAAAGUGGAUAAGAUGAAUUAUGCAUCAUAGGAGCUUCUUGUCCUCAAAGGCCUUCGUAGCUCCACUCACAAAUUACAUGAAAUUUGUCUUCACAUGCAUUUAAAAAAAAAUCAACUUGAGCUACAAAUUUACUUGACGCUGUUGCACGAUAAUCAAUCAGCAUGAACAGGAGACCAUGAUGGAUGAUGUUGGAGAUAGAGGUAGUCUGCUGGCAUCAGGAGCAGUACAACUCAACCUGAUUAAUCAACAGAAACUUAGCCGAGAAGCAGGGGAACCUGGGUAAAGCUUUCAGAUAAGCAAGCUGCAUGGUGAGUUCAAGAAACUUGUGUUUGUUACAUACCAAGUUAGCUAACAUAACCUCAAGCGCAUUUAGCACACUCGUAGCUGGCCAAUGGUGUAUUAUUCUGCCACCAGGUGACCCACAUGCAGAAGAAAGCAAGUUUGAGAGUAAGAGGUAGAAUCUGAGCCGGGGUCUGGUACAAAGUUGAAAUAUGUGGCAACCCCUUGUGAACUACGGAGGGUUCUGAAGAGUUUUACCCCACCUCACUGCUUACCACAUUGGAGACCCCAAUGGGCUCUGUGCACAGCUCCACUCCUUCCUGAACUUAGGGCAGCUUCUUUAUUUCCUGUCUUACAUUAUUGGACAAACUGAAGAGCUGUGAGCUGUACACCAGGUUUCUGUAUAAAUCACCAGUGCACAAGCGU
Molecule: non-coding RNA, 2782 nt
Organism: Xyrichtys novacula (pearly razorfish)
Lineage: Eukaryota; Metazoa; Chordata; Actinopteri; Labriformes; Labridae
Source: the annotation of a GenBank genome assembly